UAUAGACCCUUUGCAAACACGUGACUACGACCACGUGACGACACCAUGACGGACGGCAGAAUCACCGGAAGCACAAGCUGAACAGUAGUAGACGAGCGGGAAGUUUCAAUCAGUUUAAAAUAAAUAACACUAAACUUUAUGGCUUCUUCUAUUGAACAAGCUGUCGUGCCGUUAUCGGUCGAGGUAGGGCAUCUGGUAGGUGCUCACAAAGAACGGUAUUUGGUUGGAGAUCGCAGGAUUGGAUACCGACCCUUACCUUCUUCCUCCCUCCGUUUUCACGGACGUCUGGAUGCUUACCAGUUCUUUGUAGCUGGCUGGGUUACAGGUACGCGAUGCUACGCUCACGGCGGGGGGAGGUACCUCAUAAUGGCAAAGCCACUUCAACAUUGUAAAUAAACCGGAAGCUGUCUGCCUCUGACCUUGAGAAAAAAAAUGUGAUGCGAAGUCACACCAGAGCAGAUGGGGAUGUGAACAUGAACAAAAAGCCAGAGAGACGUAUGAGGCUUAUGCUGCACAACAGCAUCAGGACCUGAGU
Molecule: long non-coding RNA, 535 nt
Organism: Cyprinus carpio (common carp)
Lineage: Eukaryota; Metazoa; Chordata; Actinopteri; Cypriniformes; Cyprinidae
Exons: 3
Source: RefSeq, a predicted model, not a curated record